AUUGCAGAUUUUGGAGUUUUCACAACAAGAGCAAACUUAAGGUGACUUUAUUCUUGAAAAUGUUGGAGACUGAGAGGCAGAUGUGUAAACAGACAACUCUGCAUGGAAUUGGAGGAUACAAGUAUAUAACUGAAUGCAUUCUGUCUGGAUUUCUGUAUGGUGACAGAAGGCUUUGAUAUGGGGAGAAUUGGAGUGGCUAAGAAUCAGAUGGAGACCCAAUGUCAGUUCACAUGGAAUACCAGGGUUUGCAAAGGAGGACAUUGGAACUGGCUUAAGUAUUCGAACUUCUGAUGGCAGUUGAUGAAAGAAGAUGUCAUACUUAGGGAAACAUUAAAUUACUUUGAAUGAUAUUACCUAAAAACAUCAAACAACAGGGGAAAAAAGAGGACUGCCUAUUUCCGAUUUAUCUUUACAUAACAACACCCAAAGCACUACCAUCAAAAAAUUAAAAUCAAUAUAUAGGAAGAAAAAAUGAAGACAUUGAUUAAAAGAAAAGAAGU
This is a long non-coding RNA of Saccostrea echinata, 500 nucleotides long. RefSeq lists it as uncharacterized. The transcript has 3 exons. The record is from RefSeq and is a predicted model, not a curated record. Lineage: Eukaryota; Metazoa; Mollusca; Bivalvia; Ostreida; Ostreidae.